This 301-nucleotide ribosomal RNA is filed under the name uncultured bacterium. RNAcentral's name for it is "partial 16S ribosomal RNA". It matches the Rfam family "Bacterial small subunit ribosomal RNA", at positions 509 to 808 of the family's 1533-position model. The record is from RNAcentral.
CAGUGCCGCGGUAAUACAGAGGGUGCGAGCGUUAAUCGGAUUUACUGGGCGUAAAGCGUGCGUAGGCGGCUUUUUAAGUCGGAUGUGAAAUCCCUGAGCUUAACUUAGGAAUUGCAUUCGAUACUGGGAAGCUAGAGUAUGGGAGAGGAUGGUAGAAUUCCAGGUGUAGCGGUGAAAUGCGUAGAGAUCUGGAGGAAUACCGAUGGCGAAGGCAGCCAUCUGGCCUAAUACUGACGCUGAGGUACGAAAGCAUGGGGAGCAAACAGGAUUAGAUACCCCCGUAGUCCCUGUCUCUUAUACA